This 249-nucleotide ribosomal RNA is filed under the name uncultured Actinomycetales bacterium. RNAcentral describes it as "partial 16S ribosomal RNA". It matches the Rfam family "Bacterial small subunit ribosomal RNA", at positions 84 to 334 of the family's 1533-position model. The record is from RNAcentral. Lineage: Bacteria; Bacillati; Actinomycetota; Actinomycetes; Actinomycetales.
GGGGUACUCGAGUGGCGAACGGGUGAGUAACACGUGAGUAACCUGCCCUUGACUUUGGGAUAACUUCAGGAAACUGGGGCUAAUACCGGAUAGGAGCUCCUGCUGCAUGGUGGGGGUUGGAAAGUUUCGGCGGUUGGGGAUGGACUCGCGGCUUAUCAGCUUGUUGGUGGGGUAGUGGCUUACCAAGGCUUUGACGGGUAGCCGGCCUGAGAGGGUGACCGGCCACAUUGGGACUGAGAUACGGCCCAG